RNAcentral lists this ribosomal RNA (254 nucleotides) under uncultured prokaryote. RNAcentral's name for it is "partial 16S ribosomal RNA". It matches the Rfam family "Bacterial small subunit ribosomal RNA", at positions 525 to 777 of the family's 1533-position model. The record is from RNAcentral.
ACAGAGGGUGCGAGCGUUGUCCGGAAUCACUGGGCGUAAAGGGCGCGUAGGCGGUCCCUUAAGCGUGUGGUGAAAGCCCGGGGCUCAACUCCGGGUCGGCCGUGCGAACUGGGGGACUGGAGCGGAUCAGAGGCGGGCGGAAUUCCGGGUGUAGCGGUGGAAUGCGUAGAGAUCCGGAAGAACACCGGUGGCGAAGGCGGCCCGCUGGGAUCCUUGCUGACGCUGAAGCGCGACAGCGUGGGGAGCAAACAGGA